GCGUUUUAUGGAGACUGUUGGAGCGGUGUGGGAGCGGCGGUCCAGCAGUAGCAAAUGAGAUGGAAUCUCAAAGGUGUUAAGGCUCGCAGGCGUGGGAGCGUACGCUCUGGGGGGAGGCGCGUGGUUUUCUUUUUAACAACAGGCUGUAGUUGGAUGCCGGCUAGUAUCCCUAGGCGGAAGUGACACCUCCGGAUUUGUUAAGCCUCCGGGUGACUCGCGUAACUGUUUUGACAUGCAGAUCGGUGAGAUGCGCACCAAAGAGUGACGGGGGAGAUGGAGAGCCACAAGCAAAGUAGGAUUUUGGCACCGGAGGCAGCUUGGGCGAGGUGGCACGCGAGCCUUGACGUGACAACUGGAAACAGCAGCGGCAGGGCAGGUGAAGGGCCGAGUUUUUUGCAGGUGCCGCAGAUGGCCGCGGAGGGGCCGAGCCGCACGCAGACCGACAGUCUGAGAAGGUGCUUUGGGAGCCGCCUUUGGGAUCGGAUGAGCGUUUGAAGCGAGCCGGGGUAACGCCAGCGACGACGGCUGCAGCAUCUGACUCUGCAAAGAGCCGGUGAAGAGGAAGGCGGCAACUGCAGGAACGUGCUAGUUAGCUGCCGCGCUGCUUUUGUCGAGGAUGGAAUCGGACCUCCGGCCCUGUGAAAGCUAAGUCGACCGAACGGGGCCGCGAGGAGGGGCCGAGGUUGGGAAUUGCAGGGGAGUGUUUGAAAGUUAGCACGGGGGAGAAGGCUGUACGGGAGCGGGGCCCUCCGGUCAGGUAAAGGUAACGGAUUACUUUUUCCCCUCGAUGUUAGCGUGUCCCGGGCAGGGCAGUUCCAGCCUCUGCGUGUGUCAUCGUGUAGUUUGUUUCUUCUGUCUGCCGUGUCUUUGCCCUUCCUCGGCUCUAAAUGUCCUCGCGUCUCUUUGGGCUCGAGGAGCUCGGCACGCGUCUCGGGGGCCAUCCCUAGGGUUUCGAACGCCCAUCUUCAUCGGCACGCUGCCGAUCGGGUGCUUUUUUUAUUCUUGCGUUAUGAGCUUAAAGCGUGGGUAGGUCUUGGAAGUUUCCGGUCGGGAGUCUUUUGCGCAGCAUCGUCGCAGGCUCUGGCGUCAGCUCUGCUAUUUAGGCAUCCGUUGUUCCUGCCGGUGACUUCUUUCCCGUAUCCUGACGUUCUUAGGUCUUGAAGCCCAUCUUCUUGCGUACCCAUCGUCUCGGUUUUGACGGUAGCUUCUCGUAAGGGGCCGUUCCACUUAGUGCUUCUUGUAGGCUGCCGUAUAGCCUCCUCACGUCGCCAUCGUGGCCCUCCGAGUCUUCUCGCCUUACGGCAUACCCUUCUGGGUGUCCUUAUCGCUUAGCGUUUAGUCCUCUUUGAAUCGCGUCAUUUGUAGUAUUUUGUGUGUGUCUGUGUGGCUCGGAGCUGCUCUGCCUGGGGAUGUGGAGUCUCAGGGAUAGGUGGAAUAGAGUUCACGGGUACACUGUAUGGGUUUGUUUUAAAUAAGAAAACGAAUCCUCCAACUGGGUGACAUCUUUGUCUCCCCGGUGGGGUUUAUUUUCACCCAGUCGCAGAUGCUCUCUGAGGGUGACGGUCGCGGUCAGCGUCUGGGUGAAGGUCAGGUUUGGGCCGGGAUUUCCUCAGGCUAGGCGCUCGAGUCCCCCAGGAACGGUAUUCAGGGGGUGACUGCCCGUCGUGACGGUUGGGCGGAAGGAUGGGCCGGUGGAGAGUGGGGGUUGGUUUUGGCGGUAGGUGGAAUAGCGGCAUGUUUAGAACGUGUCUAGCUGUGUAAGAGUAUUUGUCGUCUCUUUUCUUCCAGGAUGUAGGCGGGGCUCAAUUUGACUACGUAGACUGGAUUUAAUGAAAACCUCUGUCAGGGGAAUAAACUUCUGUUUUUUCCUGUC
Tyto alba (common barn owl) is the source of this 1873-nucleotide long non-coding RNA. RefSeq lists it as uncharacterized. The record is from RefSeq and is a predicted model, not a curated record. The transcript has 7 exons. Lineage: Eukaryota; Metazoa; Chordata; Aves; Strigiformes; Tytonidae.